GUUCUAUGCAACCCGUGCAAGCUAGCGCAACCGAAUCAAAAAGAUUUCCUAGGCUCCGCUCAACCGAACCCUCCUCGUUCUAUUUGCGGCCUCCUCGUAGCUCUCCGCUCUUUCACUCCGUCUAUCGGCCAUCACAGUUCUGCAUACUCGUGAGCUUAGUUGGUCAUCUUCGUUUCUGUAUCGAUUGCUCAUCUCCGUUCUCUGCAAUCGGCCUGGUGGCUAUUUGAUUUCUUAAUCCUCAAGCAGGACUGAAAUGAUCAAGGCUCAGUGUUCGUUCUGAAACUAACCGCAAAGGUUUGGAAUUUGCAAAUAUUGACAAGGAGGUGCAGAGCAGGGAGAUCAAAAACCCUAAGCCCCCAAUCAGCAAAAUAGGAUACAAAACGCUACAACUCCAAAGCAAUGACAACCACUUGGAGGAGAAGAUUGGGAAAUGUGAGGUCGUUUGUAGGGAAUUCGAUGGGAGGCCUAAGAGGAGGAAGCAACCUGGCCUCGUGGGUGGUGGCUGGGACCUUAGCCUACUUCCUUUGGGUUAAGCCCUCACAGGACCUCAAGCGAGAACAACAGGAAAGGGCUGCUUUGGCCUCUGCGGAUCCACAUGCCUAUGUAGAGAAAAGGAAACCUGUUCCUGAUCCUCAGGAGACUGGUUUGAUAUACGGAAAUAAGAAUAGAACUCGAAAACCAAAACCGGAGGAAUGACUUGAGACUUGUAAGUUAACAAGUUACACUAUAAUAGCGUUGUUGUCUUAAGUAGCAGAAUUAUCAAUCUGGUUUUUGUAAUUGUAAUGUUUAUUUGUGGAAUGUUAGCCUGAAAUAUCUUUGUAUAUCUUGCAAUAAACUGUAUACAAGUCCAAUUUUGAAGACUUGUUAGCUUACGGUUCUACAAAUAUGACCUGACCAGAAAAGUUAAAGCUUGGGGGUCAUUUCA
This is a non-coding RNA of Prunus avium (sweet cherry), 925 nucleotides long. NCBI's taxonomy places the organism in Eukaryota, Viridiplantae, Streptophyta, Magnoliopsida, Rosales, Rosaceae. The record is from RefSeq and is a predicted model, not a curated record.